This is a non-coding RNA of Schistosoma haematobium, 45 nucleotides long. The record is from Rfam. Lineage: Eukaryota; Metazoa; Platyhelminthes; Trematoda; Strigeidida; Schistosomatidae.
AUUCAGCUCAGGAGUCCCAAAUAGGACGAAAUGCGCUUCAUGGAU